RNAcentral lists this non-coding RNA (91 nucleotides) under Jeotgalicoccus saudimassiliensis. RNAcentral's name for it is "TPP riboswitch aptamer (THI element)". It matches the Rfam family "TPP riboswitch aptamer (THI element)". From Rfam's summary of the family: Vitamin B(1) in its active form thiamin pyrophosphate (TPP) is an essential coenzyme that is synthesised by coupling of pyrimidine and thiazole moieties in bacteria. The previously detected thiamin-regulatory element, thi box was extended, resulting in a new, highly conserved RNA secondary structure, the THI element, which is widely distributed in eubacteria and also occurs in some archaea. Lineage: Bacteria; Bacillati; Bacillota; Bacilli; Caryophanales; Staphylococcaceae. RNAcentral also lists the same sequence under 1 other name. The record is from Rfam by way of RNAcentral.
GCACACCACUGGAGGUGCCCUUAUGGGCUGAGAAACACUCUUAAUACCUGAUCUGGAUUAUGCCAGCGUAGGGAAGUGGCAUAGAUUCGUU